CAAGUCGAGCGGCAGCACGGGUAGCAAUACCUGGUGGCGAGCGGCGGACGGGUGAGGAAUACAUCGGAAUCUGCCUUGUCGUGGGGGAUAACGUAGGGAAACUUACGCUAAUACCGCAUACGACCGAGAGGUGAAAGCGGGGGAUCGCAAGACCUCGCGCGACAAGAUGAGCCGAUGUCGGAUUAGCUAGUUGGCGGGGUAAGAGCCCACCAAGGCGACGAUCCGUAGCUGGUCUGAGAGGAUGAUCAGCCACACUGGAACUGAGACACGGUCCAGACUCCUACGGGAGGCAGCAGUGGGGAAUAUUGGACAAUGGGCGCAAGCCUGAUCCAGCCAUGCCGCGUGGGUGAAGAAGGCCUUCGGGUUGUAAAGCCCUUUUGUUGGGGACGAAAUCGUACGGGUGAAUACCCCGUGCGGAUGACGGUACCCAAAGAAUAAGCACCGGCUAACUUCGUGCCAGCAGCCGCGGUAAUACGAAGGGUGCAAGCGUUACUCGGAAUUACUGGGCGUAAAGCGUGCGUAGGCGGUUUGUUAAGUCCGUUGUGAAAGCCCUGGGCUCAACCUGGGAAUUGCAGUGGAUACUGGCGAGCUAGAGUGCGGUAGAGGAUGGUGGAAUUCCCGGUGUAGCGGUGAAAUGCGUAGAGAUCGGGAGGAACACCCGUGGCGAAGGCGGCCAUCUGGACCAGCACUGACGCUGAGGCACGAAAGCGUGGGGAGCAAACAGGAUUAGGUACCCUGGUAGUCCACGCCCUAAACGAUGCGAACUGGACGUUGGGUGGACUUAGCCACUCAGUGUCGAAGCUAACGCGUUAAGUUCGCCCCCUGGGGAGUACGGUCGCAAGACUGAAACUCAAAGGAAUUGACGGGGGCCCGCACAAGCGGUGGAGUAUGUGGUUUAAUUC
Molecule: ribosomal RNA, 902 nt
Filed under: uncultured Lysobacteraceae bacterium
Lineage: Bacteria; Pseudomonadati; Pseudomonadota; Gammaproteobacteria; Lysobacterales; Lysobacteraceae
Description: bacterial SSU rRNA
Rfam family: Bacterial small subunit ribosomal RNA
Source: RNAcentral